UGAGUGCGUGAAGAUUUUAACCGCCUCUAACAUUUUAUUAGGUAAUUCGUCACUAACGAUUAUAAUUCUAAUGCAUAGACUAAUUCAAGCAUUUUACAUUCUUCUAAGAAGAAAAUGUGACCAUGGAUCUAUGCCACGUACACAGAUACUAAAAUUUAUUAUCUCUGAAUACAUCGAAGCACGCCGCAGAGGAUGACAUGCCCACGGACAACAGCAACCCCUGAUCAUGCGAGUGUUUUUGGUGGCAUGUGCAUGCUCUGCUCUCUUUUCGGACUGGAAUUUGAGUUCGUGGUAAAAUUCCCACGACAUUUCUCAUGUUAAUAUUGUUAUUAACAUGAGCUCUCCCCUU
Molecule: long non-coding RNA, 349 nt
Filed under: Hordeum vulgare
Lineage: Eukaryota; Viridiplantae; Streptophyta; Magnoliopsida; Poales; Poaceae
Description: long non-coding RNA (HVUL_LNC002073)
Source: RNAcentral